This 162-nucleotide ribosomal RNA is filed under the name Hydrotriche hottoniiflora. RNAcentral describes it as "5.8S ribosomal RNA". It matches the Rfam family "5.8S ribosomal RNA". Rfam says of the family: 5.8S ribosomal RNA (5.8S rRNA) is a component of the large subunit of the eukaryotic ribosome. It is transcribed by RNA polymerase I as part of the 45S precursor that also contains 18S and 28S rRNA. Functionally, it is thought that 5.8S rRNA may be involved in ribosome translocation. The record is from RNAcentral. RNAcentral also lists the same sequence under 1 other name. Lineage: Eukaryota; Viridiplantae; Streptophyta; Magnoliopsida; Lamiales; Plantaginaceae.
UUAACGACUCUCGGCAACGGAUAUCUCGGCUCUCGCAUCGAUGAAGAACGUAGCGAAAUGCGACACUUGGUGUGAAUUGCAGAAUCCCGUGAACCAUCGAGUCUUUGAACGCAAGUUGCGCCCGAGGCCUCGGCCGAGGGCACGUCUGCCUGGGCGUCACGC